GAUGAACGCUGGCGGCGUGCCUAAUACAUGCAAGUCGAGCGAACGGACGAGAAGCUUGCUUCCCUGAUGUUAGCGGCGGACGGGUGAGUAACACAUGGAUAACCUACCUAUAAGACUGGGAUAACUUCGGGAAACCGGAGCUAAUACCGGAUAAUAUUUUGAACCGCAUGGUUCAAAAGUGAAAGACGGUCUUGCUGUCACUUAUAGAUGGAUCCGCGCUGCAUUAGCUAGUUUGUAAGGUAACGGCUUACCAAGGCAACGAUGCAUAGCCGACCUGAGAGGGUGAUCGGCCACACUGGAACUGAGACACGGUCCAGACUCCUACGGGAGGCAGCAGUAGGGAAUCUUCCGCAAUGGGCGAAAGCCUGACGGAGCAACGCCGCGUGAGUGAUGAAGGUCUUCGGAUCGUAAAACUCUGUUAUUAGGGAAGAACAUAUGUGUAAGUAACUGUGCACAUCUUGACGGUACCUAAUCAGAAAGCCACGGCUAACUACGUG
This 497-nucleotide ribosomal RNA is filed under the name uncultured bacterium. Its description in RNAcentral is "partial 16S ribosomal RNA". It matches the Rfam family "Bacterial small subunit ribosomal RNA", at positions 28 to 507 of the family's 1533-position model. The record is from RNAcentral.